Molecule: ribosomal RNA, 494 nt
Filed under: uncultured bacterium
Lineage: Bacteria
Description: partial 16S ribosomal RNA
Rfam family: Bacterial small subunit ribosomal RNA
Source: RNAcentral
GACGAACGCUGGCGGCGCGCUUAACACAUGCAAGUCGAACGGAAAGGCCUGCUUUCCCUUGUGGAUUGCGGGUACUCGAGUGGCGAACGGGUGAGUAACACGUGAGUGAUCUGCCCCCAACUUGGGUAUAAGCCUGGGAAACUGGGUCUAAUUCCCGAUAGGACUGCAGGGUGGUGCCUGUGGUGGAACACGAUUUUCUAGUGGUUGGGGAUGAGCUCGCGGCCUAUCAGCUUGUUGGUGGGGUAAUGGCCUACCAAGGCGGCGACGGGUAGCCGGCCUGAGAGGGGGGACGGCCACAUUGGGACUGAGAUACGGCCCAGACGCCUACGGGAGGCAGCAGUGGGGAAGAUUGCACAAUGGGCGGAAGCCUGAUGCAGCGACGCCGCGUGGGGGAUGACGGCCUUCGGGUUGUAAACUCCUUUCGACCGCGAGGAAGCCACCUGGUUGGAAGGGUGGUGACGGUAGUGGUAGAAGAAGCACCGGCUAACUACGUG